Molecule: ribosomal RNA, 497 nt
Filed under: uncultured bacterium
Lineage: Bacteria
Description: partial 16S ribosomal RNA
Rfam family: Bacterial small subunit ribosomal RNA
Source: RNAcentral
GACGAACGCUGGCGGCGUGCCUAAUACAUGCAAGUUGAGCGCUGAAGGUUGGUACUUGUACCAACUGGAUGAGCAGCGAACGGGUGAGUAACGCGUGGGGAAUCUGCCUUUGAGCGGGGGACAGCAUUUGGAAACGAAUGCUAAUACCGCAUAAAAACUUUAAACACAAGUUUUAAGUGUGAAAGAUUCAAUUGCAUCACUCAAAGUUGAUCCCGCGUUGUAUUAGCUAGUUGGUGAGGUAAAGGCUCACCAAGGCGAUGAUACAUAGCCGACCUGAGAGGGUGAUCGGCCACAGUGGGAAUGGGACACGGCCCAAACUCCUAAGGGAGGCAGCAGUAGGGAAUCUUCGGCAAUGGGCGAAAGUCUGACCGAGGAACGCCGCGUGAGUGAAGAAGGUUUUCGGAUCGUAAAACUCUGUUGGUAGAGAAGAACGAUGGUGAGAGUGGAAAGCUCAUCAAGUGACGGUAACUACCCAGAAAGCGACGGCUAACUACGUG